This 491-nucleotide ribosomal RNA is filed under the name uncultured bacterium. RNAcentral's name for it is "partial 16S ribosomal RNA". It matches the Rfam family "Bacterial small subunit ribosomal RNA", at positions 29 to 507 of the family's 1533-position model. The record is from RNAcentral.
AGUGAACGCUGGCGGUAGGCCUAACACAUGCAAGUCGAACGGCAGCACAGUAAGAGCUUGCUCUUACGGGUGGCGAGUGGCGGACGGGUGAGGAAUACAUCGGAAUCUACUUUUUCGUGGGGGAUAACGUAGGGAAACUUACGCUAAUACCGCAUACGACCUACGGGUGAAAGCAGGGGAUCUUCGGACCUUGCGCGAUUGAAUGAGCCGAUGUCGGAUUAGCUAGUUGGCGGGGUAAAGGCCCACCAAGGCGACGAUCCGUAGCUGGUCUGAGAGGAUGAUCAGCCACACUGGAACUGAGACACGGUCCAGACUCCUACGGGAGGCAGCAGUGGGGAAUAUUGGACAAUGGGCGCAAGCCUGAUCCAGCCAUACCGCGUGGGUGAAGAAGGCCUUCGGGUUGUAAAGCCCUUUUGCUGGGAAAGAAAAGCAGCAGGUUAAUACCCCGCUGUUCUGACGGUACCCAAAGAAAAGCACCGGCUAACUUCGUG